Molecule: unclassified non-coding RNA, 266 nt
Filed under: fungal sp.
Lineage: Eukaryota; Fungi
Description: partial internal transcribed spacer region
Rfam family: Eukaryotic small subunit ribosomal RNA (bases 1-46)
Source: RNAcentral
AAGUCGUAACAAGGUUUCCGUAGGUGAACCUGCGGAAGGAUCAUUAGUGAAAGUCUGGGCUCCGGCCCUCUCUCUUCUAUAACCUUGUCCACCUUGUGAACUUACUAUGUUGCUUUGGCGGGUCUCUGCUCUCAGACUGCAAGUCCGGGACGGUUAGAUCGAAAGGUGCCUGCCAAGGACAUUCAAAUCACCCUUUUUUUUCAAUCGUCUGAUUUUUGUUUAUACAAAAUAAAAUAAAACUUUCAACAAUGGAUCUCUUGGCUCUG